This 77-nucleotide transfer RNA is filed under the name Candidatus Competibacteraceae bacterium. RNAcentral's name for it is "tRNA-Met". It matches the Rfam family "tRNA". Rfam says of the family: Transfer RNA (tRNA) molecules are approximately 80 nucleotides in length. Their secondary structure includes four short double-helical elements and three loops (D, anti-codon, and T loops). Lineage: Bacteria; Pseudomonadati; Pseudomonadota; Gammaproteobacteria; Candidatus Competibacteraceae. RNAcentral also lists the same sequence under 1 other name. The record is from RNAcentral.
GAAAAAGUAGCUCAUCCGGGUAGAGCAUCUGACUCAUAAUCAGACGGUAGAAGGUUCGAAUCCUUCCUUUUUCACCA